RNAcentral lists this ribosomal RNA (468 nucleotides) under uncultured bacterium. Its description in RNAcentral is "partial 16S ribosomal RNA". It matches the Rfam family "Bacterial small subunit ribosomal RNA", at positions 28 to 507 of the family's 1533-position model. The record is from RNAcentral.
GACGAACGCUGGCGGCGUGCUUAACACAUGCCAGUCGAACGGAAAGGCCCUGCUUUUGUGGGGUGCUCGAGUGGCGAACGGGUGAGUAACACGUGAGUAACCUGCCCUUGACUUUGGGAUAACUUCAGGAAACUGGGGCUAAUACCGGAUAGGAGCUCCUGCUGCAUGGUGGGGGUUGGAAAGUUUCGGCGGUUGGGGAUGGACUCGCGGCUUAUCAGCUUGUUGGUGGGGUAGUGGCUUACCAAGGCUUUGACGGGUAGCCGGCCUGAGAGGGUGACCGGGCAGAAGGGGGGAGAGUUGCGGCCCGGGCGCCAGCGGGAGGCAGCAGCGGGGAAUGUGGGACGACGGGCGGAGGCCUGACGCAGCCGUGCCGCGGGGGGGAAGCGGGCGUGAGGGUUGUAAACCACGAUCGCCUGUGAAGCAGCGUGCGUGACGUUAAUGGGUAAGGAAGCACCGGCUAACUAUGUG